UGGGGAAUAUUGGACAAUGGGCGAAAGCCUGAUCCAGCCAUGCCGCGUGUGUGAAGAAGGUCUUCGGAUUGUAAAGCACUUUAAGUUGGGAGGAAGGGCAUUAACCUAAUACGUUAGUGUUUUGACGUUACCGACAGAAUAAGCACCGGCUAACUCUGUGCCAGCAGCCGCGGUAAUACAGAGGGUGCAAGCGUUAAUCGGAAUUACUGGGCGUAAAGCGCGCGUAGGUGGUUUGUUAAGUUGGAUGUGAAAUCCCCGGGCUCAACCUGGGAACUGCAUUCAAAACUGACUGACUAGAGUAUGGUAGAGGGUGGUGGAAUUUCCUGUGUAGCGGUGAAAUGCGUAGAUGUAGGAAGGAACACCAGUGGCGAAGGCGACCACCUGGACUAAUACUGACACUGAGGUGCGAAAGCGUGGGGAGCAAACA
RNAcentral lists this ribosomal RNA (427 nucleotides) under uncultured bacterium. Its description in RNAcentral is "partial 16S ribosomal RNA". It matches the Rfam family "Bacterial small subunit ribosomal RNA", at positions 355 to 774 of the family's 1533-position model. The record is from RNAcentral.